UCGAGAAUCAUUCACAAUGGGGGAAACCCUGAUGGUGCAACGCCGCGUGGAGGAUGACGGCCCUCGGGUUGUAAACUCCUGUCAUCUGGGAGUAAUCCUUGUUCGUUAAUAGCGUGCAAGGUUGAUAGUACCAGAAGAGGAAGGGACGGCUAACUUCGUGCCAGCAGCCGCGGUAAUACGAAGGUCCCAAGCGUUGUUCGGAAUCACUGGGCGUAAAGCGUGCGUAGGCGGCAUGGUAAGUCAGAUGUGAAAUCUUCGGGCUCAACGCGGACACUACAUCCGAUACUGCCAUGCUAGAGUAAUGGAGGGGUAGCUGGAAUUCUCGGUGUAGCAGUGAAAUGCGUAGAUAUCGAGAGGAACACUCGUGGCGAAGGCGAGCUACUGGACAUUUACUGACGUUGAGGCACGAAGGCCAGGGUAGCGAAAGGGAUUAGAUACCCGCGUAGUCC
RNAcentral lists this ribosomal RNA (449 nucleotides) under uncultured prokaryote. Its description in RNAcentral is "bacterial SSU rRNA". It matches the Rfam family "Bacterial small subunit ribosomal RNA", at positions 355 to 796 of the family's 1533-position model. The record is from RNAcentral.